GAAUAUUCAGUCAACUGGUUUCUAUAAAAUGUCUAUAAAAUUAUUUUUUCCAACGAUUUUUUUAUUAGUACCUUGUGCGUAGACUUUUUCUGCCUAGUGUGUGUCCCUCAAUAUGUAGUUUUAAAAAAAAUGAAAUAUUUGCGCAAGGGAGAAAAAAGUGCAGAGUCACCAUCAUUGAUCAAUAAGAUUCGAGCAAGCUUACGAGAUAUUUUAAAAGCGAAUUUAAUUUAUUUCAUAGUAUGAAUUCUACAGUACCCCCGGAGUAAGGAAGGACUAAGUUCGGAUGCCCCUAUUAAACUCUCUCGUUCCAUUCUGGAAGUAAAAUCUAAUGUCUCUGAGGGUCUACAACGUUUCUUUGCGAGUGGUGCCAACUUCAUGGCAAACAUUCAGCAAAUUUGGCUCCCAGCGACUACAACCUCUUCAGAAACCAGAAACAAUUCUUUCGAAGAAAGCGGUUUUCGCCGAAUGAAGAAACUAUUACAACUGUAGACAGGUAUUUUGCAGAGCUUCCGGAAAGUCAUUAUAGGUAUGGCAUAAAAUUAUAGUCGGAUCAUUGGAAUAAGUGUAUUGAAGUUAAGGGAGAUUAUAUUGAAUAAAAAAUAUAUUUCGU
Bactrocera oleae (olive fruit fly) is the source of this 610-nucleotide long non-coding RNA. RefSeq lists it as uncharacterized. The record is from RefSeq and is a predicted model, not a curated record. NCBI's taxonomy places the organism in Eukaryota, Metazoa, Arthropoda, Insecta, Diptera, Tephritidae.